Long non-coding RNA from Capra hircus (goat), 454 nucleotides. RefSeq lists it as uncharacterized. Lineage: Eukaryota; Metazoa; Chordata; Mammalia; Artiodactyla; Bovidae. The record is from RefSeq and is a predicted model, not a curated record. The transcript is spliced from 3 exons.
CCUUGCGGGUCCUGGGAGACGCGAGCUGGCGGGCAUCGGACGGGGUGGCACACUGGACUGGUCUGUGGAAUCUAACCACUGAGCUAUCGGGAAAUGACACCACAUAUUAUGCAUACAGAUUGUGAAAUAUAGUUAAAAUAAAGGCCAAGGACAACCUGGAAAAGGAAGAGUGGCAUCCAAUCAGUGAAACAUGCAAAAGGGGCAUAAGCGAGAGAGGAUAAGUAAAUCCGCUCACCUUCCAUCUCCUCUCUUCUAUGAACUUCUAUGAACUUCACGUUGUAUUUCAGCAACAAAUGGUAAUAGUUACUUCCUUUUUUUCUGCCCUAAGUCAAUAAUUAGCCCCCAACCCCUACCCCGUCUACUUCCCACCCCUGCUGUUAGGGGAAGCACACUGAUUGAAACCGCCCCACCCUGGCCAGGCGCCAUAGUAACUAUUUGCAUGAGUUGUUUUAUG